UACGUAGGGGGCAAGCGUUGUCCGGAUUUAUUGGGCGUAAAGAGCGUGUAGGCGGCCAGACAGGUCCGUUGUGAAAACUCGAGGCUCAACCUCGAGACGCCGAUGGAAACCGUUUGGCUAGAGUCCGGAAGAGGAGAGUGGAAUUCCUGGUGUAGCGGUGAAAUGCGCAGAUAUCAGGAAGAACACCCGUGGCGAAGGCGGCUCUCUGGGACGGUACUGACGCUGAGACGCGAAAGCGUGGGGAGCGAACAGG
RNAcentral lists this ribosomal RNA (253 nucleotides) under uncultured bacterium. Its description in RNAcentral is "partial 16S ribosomal RNA". It matches the Rfam family "Bacterial small subunit ribosomal RNA", at positions 524 to 776 of the family's 1533-position model. The record is from RNAcentral.